CCUACGGGGGCGSSCUGCAGUAGGGAAUCUUCCGCAAUGGGCGAAAGCCUGACGGAGCAAUGCCGCGUGAGUGAUGAAGGUUUUCGGAUCGUAAAGCUCUGUUGCCAGGGAAGAACGCUUGGGAGAGUAACUGCUCUCAAGGUGACGGUACCUGAGAAGAAAGCCCCGGCUAACUACGUGCCAGCAGCCGCGGUAAUACGUAGGGGGCAAGCGUUGUCCGGAAUUAUUGGGCGUAAAGCGCGCGCAGGCGGUCAUUUAAGUCUGGUGUUUAAUCCCGGGGCUCAACCCCGGAUCGCACUGGAAACUGGGUGACUUGAGUGCAGAAGAGGAGAGUGGAAUUCCACGUGUAGCGGUGAAAUGCGUAGAUAUGUGGAGGAACACCAGUGGCGAAGGCGACUCUCUGGGCUGUAACUGACGCUGAGGCGCGAAAGCGUGGGGAGCAAACAGGAUUAGAUACCGCCRAGUAGUCAA
Molecule: ribosomal RNA, 471 nt
Filed under: Paenibacillus mobilis
Lineage: Bacteria; Bacillati; Bacillota; Bacilli; Caryophanales; Paenibacillaceae
Description: bacterial SSU rRNA
Source: RNAcentral